This 506-nucleotide ribosomal RNA is filed under the name uncultured Glomeromycotina. RNAcentral's name for it is "partial small subunit ribosomal RNA". It matches the Rfam family "Eukaryotic small subunit ribosomal RNA", at positions 591 to 1092 of the family's 1831-position model. Lineage: Eukaryota; Fungi; Glomeromycota. The record is from RNAcentral.
CCAAUAGCGUAUAUUAAAGUUGUUGCAGUUAAAAAGCUCGUAGUUGAAUUUCGGGAUUGACGUGAUGGUCGUGCCUUACGGGGUAUGAACUGUCGCAGUUGAUUUCUCACCUUCUGGAGAAGCUCGAUGUCCUUAAUUGGGUGUCUUGCGGCACCAGGACCUUUACCUUGAAAAAAUUAGAGUGUUUAAAGCAGGCAUUUUGCUCGAAUACAUUAGCAUGGAAUAAUAGAAUAGGACGGCAUGGUUCUAUUUUGUUGGUUUCUAGGAUCACCGUAAUGAUUAAUAGGGAUAGUUGGGGGCAUUAGUAUUCAAUUGUCAGAGGUGAAAUUCUUGGAUUUAUUGAAGACUAACUACUGCGAAAGCAUUUGCCAAGGAUGUUUUCAUUAAUCAAGAACGAAAGUUAGGGGAUCGAAGACGAUCAGAUACCGUCGUAGUCUUAACCAUAAACUAUGCCGACUAGGAAUCAGACGAUGUUAAUUUUUUAAUGACUCGUUUGGCACCUUACG